Molecule: ribosomal RNA, 482 nt
Filed under: uncultured bacterium
Lineage: Bacteria
Description: partial 16S ribosomal RNA
Rfam family: Bacterial small subunit ribosomal RNA
Source: RNAcentral
GACGAACGCUGGCGGCGUGCUUAACACAUGCAAGUCGAACGAUGAAGAAGAGCUUGCUCUUCGGAUUAGUGGCGAAUGGGUGAGUAACACGUGACUAACCUGCCCCUUUCUCUGGGAUAACGCUCCGAAAGGAGUGCUAAUACCGGAUACUCACAUCGAGGCACAUGCCUUGAUGUGGAAAGUGUUUCGGAAAGGGAUGGAGUCGCGGCCUAUCAGCUUGUUGGUGAGGUAACGGCUCACCAAGGCGACGACGGGUAGCCGGCCUGAGAGGGCGACCGGCCACACUGGGACUGAGACACGGCCCAGACUCCUACGGGAGGCAGCAGUGGGGAAUAUUGCACAAUGGGCGAAAGCCUGAUGCAGCGACGCCGCGUGAGGGAUGAAGGUCUUCGGAUUGUAAACCUCUUUCAGUAGGGACGAAGCGAAAGUGACGGUACCUAAAGAAGAAGCACCGGCUAACUACGUGCCAGCCGCCGCCGUAA